AUUCAAAAUGGCGGCGAAAUUGGUCAGCUCAGUGAAUUUGUCAUUUAAACAUUUGGUUUAUAAUUGACACUAAUAUAUAUCCAAAAUGAAACUGGUAAGUUUUAAAAAUGCUGUUUUAUUUUUGUAACUAGGAGUUACUAUCGCAAGGAAAGUGCUGCCUUUUUGCCACAUGAACUGAAUGCAAAAGUUUGUACUUCUAGACAAUUCUCUAAAGGGAAGUCUAGCUACUUUUGACCCAAUAGCCUCAUUUCCACGUUUCAUUUGUAUUCAUCAUUGGUAGCAUGACAGGCCCAGCCUGCGCAUGGAAAAUGUAUCUCCCAUGUUUCCUGCACAAAUUUGUUUCUCGUUCAUCGUUUAAGACCAAUCACAUGAAUAUCUUCUAAACUCUUCAGAAUUUGCUCAGAGUCAAUGUGAGUAAAAUACUCCUUGUAUUCAAGUGCUUUCAUGUAGAAAGUUUCGUUUGAAUAUGGCACAGAAUAGAAAUAUUUAUUUUGAAUUUUUCAAAAUAUCGGGUUUUUACUCACACACACCACGCACACGCCAUGUGUAUGCUUGGUCAUCUCAGUCUGAUGCCGUGCAAACCACUGGUAGUAAUUUGACUCGUAGAAUCGAUUACCGGUUUUUCCACGACCCGUGAGAGACCCUACAAUGAAAAUAGCGCUUUGUUUUGAUGUAUGUUUCAUGGGCCGCGCUAAAAAUGUAAAUAUUCUGUAAAUACAGAAAUAAAAAAUUAAAAUCUAGAGACACAAGCUUGAAAAUAACACUCCAAAUUGUGUUUUGGAUUCUGGUUAGAAUAAUACUAUUACGAAAAAGAUGUGUCCAAAGGGGCCAAAGUUAUGUUCGGCCACAGUUCGGUGAAAUGUAUGGCUAUAGUUUACAUUGUUCGUUAUUAUGUAAUAUGAUACUAUUGCGCACCCAGCGCUGCGUGAAUUCUAAUACUGCACGAAUUUUAAUUCAUGUAAGGUAUAUUGUGGAUUGCAACAUUAAUAAUAAUUAUCAUUAUUCAUAGCAACCUUAACAUUUACAUCCAGACUGUAUGUAUACCAGAAACCUGCGGAUGGAGAGGGAUUCAAUUACACCUGAAAAAUGCAAGUAAAUCUGCAGCUUUCUGGUGUUAUUGCAAAUCCUUCUCAAUCCAUAGCUUUCUGUUGUUAUUGUCACUACCUACUAUGGAACACACAACAAUUUUAUGAUUGGGAGGGCUGGUGCUGAGAUGAAAUCUCUGCACCCUGGGGAUUUGGGGGCAUGCCCGCAAGAAAAUUUGGAAACUUACAAACCCAGAAAGGAGUUUGUCGGUUAACCGAGUCAAAUCCGAGUCAUUGUUUAGUGGUCUUUGUAGUUCAAUGACUUAGUGCCCUAACCCCACACCUAACGUACCCUACCCUAUUCGACUGUGAAUUUUAUUCAAUUUCGGACUUUGUCGGUUUACCGAGUCAAAUCCGAGUCUGAGUAAAUUGUCUGAGUCACUGCUUAAUUAACUGUCUUUGUCGGUUCAAUGACUUUGUACCCUAACCCUACUCCUAACCCUAUUCGACUGUGAAUUUUCUUCAAUUUCAGGCCAUUUAAAAACCUGGGGGUCUGGUAUCGGCUUCACGGCUUGGCGAAGAAUAAACAAAUUAUCUCAGUCUGCUUACAAUUUCCUGUUAAUGUUAUAUAGUUUUACAAUUCUGACUAAGUAUAACAGAAUAAUAUGGAUGCAUUGUAAUGUCAAAAUUUUAUUGCGGGCAUGCCCCCAAACCCCAGGGUGCAGAGAUUUCAUCUCAGCACCAGCCCUCCCAAUCAUAAAAUUGUUGUGUGUUCCAUAGUAGGUAGUGACAACACCAGAAAGCUAUGGAUUGAGAAGGAUUUGCAAUAACACCAGAAAGCUAUGGAUUGAGAAGGAUUUGCAAUAACACCAGAAAGCUGCAGAUUUACUUGCAUUUCUCAGGUGUAAUUGAAUCCCUCUCCAUCCGCAGGUUUCUGGUAUACAUACAGUCUGAAGACAUAUUCUCAUAGACAUAUAUUUAUAAUAUGUUAAUUGGACACAUAUUCAUAUUCUCAAGACAUAUAUUUAUAAUAUGUUAAUUGGACACAUAUUCAUAUUCUCAAGACAUAUAUUUAUAAUAUGUUAAUUCAUGGUCUGUUUUAUUUUUAUGUAUCCUCAAGUUAUGUUCAUAUAUUAAUUGUCUGUAGUGCAUGACUACAUUUCAGGGUAUAUUUCUCAAUCUGCUUACAAUUUCCUGUUAAUGUUAUAUAGUUUUACAAUUCUGACUGAGUAAACAGAAUAAUAUGGAUGCAUUGUAAUGUAAUGGAUGUCAAAAAGUUCAUCUUAAUUUUACUUGGAUGGAUCUGUAAACACUGGCAACAAAGUAAUUGCAUUGCAAAGAUAGUCUAGAUAGAUCCAGCCACUCAGUUGUGCAUAUGGUUGUUAUGAAUUUCAAACACUGUUGAGAAAUAUACCCUGAAAUGUAGUCAUGCACUACAGACGAUUAAUAUAUGAACAUAACUUGAGGAUACAUAAAAAUAAAACAGACCAAUUAACAUAUUAUAAAUAUAUGUCUUGAGAAUAUUUCACACUUGUAGCUCUAAAAAGUGCUGGAUUUAUAAGCUCGUUUAUAAGCACACUGCUAAACGCUAGAUUCUAGAAUUAUCGCCUUGACAAACCGCUACACAAACAUACAAAGCUGAAGGCAUUUAGACAAUUUACUGUAGUACACUUUGACUCCUUGUAUGAGGACAUUGAAUGACCUUAUAAAUGUUGUUAUGACCAAUCGAUUAGUGGCUAGGCUUGUGGGCUGUUUAAUAAUAAACUCAUGAAAUACUCCUAUAUUUAUCGAAUACUAAAAAGUUCAACGCUUUCAUGUAUGUCAACAGAAAGAAAUAAAACCACCCUUACCUAAACUAUUCUAAAUAUUGUAGAUCGUUUAAUUUUGCAUCGUUUAAUUUGCAUCCAUAUUAAUUAAAAAGCUCGUAAAAUCUUGAGAAGAAUUGAAAGCAUAUGUGCGCAAUACAAAAUAUAAUUAUAUUUGCCCGCCCCCCUCACUUAAAAAAUGUCCCUGAAGCUUAAUUAUUUCCCCUGGAAAAAUGGACAGACAGACACAAGUCGAGAUCUCGACAAUACAUAGGUCGCGCGAAAGACUGGGUCGAAAGGACUCUGAGGAAACCCUAGCACGUCAAGAAUAGUGUGCUGCCUCGCUGACGCUCGGCAGCAAAUAUUGCAAUAUGUUAAACUAAUAUAUUAUUUUUAGUAUUCGCUUGGUAGGAGCUGCAGAGCACCAUGUUAUGUGCUGAAAUUUAAACAAGCAACAGUCAUGUUGGAUUGUUCAUUGGACAUGACACCUGCACUCAAUUUUACACCACUACAUUUAGUUGAGAAGUAA
Paramuricea clavata is the source of this 3359-nucleotide non-coding RNA. Lineage: Eukaryota; Metazoa; Cnidaria; Anthozoa; Malacalcyonacea; Plexauridae. The record is from the annotation of a GenBank genome assembly.